This is a small nucleolar RNA of Dendrobium catenatum, 107 nucleotides long. NCBI's taxonomy places the organism in Eukaryota, Viridiplantae, Streptophyta, Magnoliopsida, Asparagales, Orchidaceae. The record is from RefSeq and is a predicted model, not a curated record.
AAUUCAUGAUGCAGGCAUUUUUGAAGCAUUUCCUUAAAUCUUUUCCAUCUCUCAUAAAUGAAUUCUCCUACAAACUAAGCAAAAUAAGUUGUGUCAUUUCUAAUUUU